UACGUAGGGUGCGAGCGUUGUCCGGAAUUACUGGGCGUAAAGCGUGCGCAGGCGGUUUUGUAAGACUGUCGUGAAAUCCCCGGGCUUAACCUGGGAAUUGCGAUGGUGACUGCAAGGCUAGAGUUUGGCAGAGGGGGGUAGAAUUCCACGUGUAGCAGUGAAAUGCGUAGAGAUGUGGAGGAACACCGAUGGCGAAGGCAGCCCCCUGGGUCAAAACUGACGCUCAUGCACGAAAGCGUGGGGAGCAAACAGG
RNAcentral lists this ribosomal RNA (253 nucleotides) under uncultured bacterium. Its description in RNAcentral is "partial 16S ribosomal RNA". It matches the Rfam family "Bacterial small subunit ribosomal RNA", at positions 524 to 776 of the family's 1533-position model. The record is from RNAcentral.